This is a long non-coding RNA of Oncorhynchus keta (chum salmon), 1227 nucleotides long. RefSeq lists it as uncharacterized. The transcript has 3 exons. The record is from RefSeq and is a predicted model, not a curated record. NCBI's taxonomy places the organism in Eukaryota, Metazoa, Chordata, Actinopteri, Salmoniformes, Salmonidae.
AUCACUACUAACACUACCACUGAUCUCAGAGCAGCAGGCUGACAUUACACUACAGCUCUGACUGUGAGAGUCAGUGAUGUCACUACAGACCUCCGAUCAGCUCUGUGGAUGCCAGCCAACUUUACGGUCAUUGUUUGGAGGAAAUUCAUUCACACUAUAGGAGGCUGUUGUCGUAUGUGUUGGGGGAUAUCUGGUCUUUGUUGGCUACCAUAUCAUCUCCUGUCUUCAGAGGUUCAGGUAAAUCUCUUAAUGGAUGAAUCUUUUCAGCUUCGUCUGGAGCUGUUUGACCUAGCGUCAGACCUUCAGAAGGAAACCAUUGAGGAGGAGGAGAAUGAGGAAGGGGAGGUAUACUACUUUGUGGCAGUAUGAUGCAGGCUGUUGUGUCCUAGUUAGAGAUAGUUACAGCAGAGUUGCUGAGCGAGGUUACACUUCUCCCAUUCCGAUUUAGAGUAUGUUAUGUGUGAUCUAGACAUACUAUAUAUUGUGUGCCCUAUUUUGAUUGUUUUUUGGUCUUCAUCUUUCCAAGUCUGCAUAUGUGCCUCAUGCCCUGGCCUUUAAGAGGGCGUAUGCCAUGAAGGUAGUGUGAACAUUCCCAUUAAGGUAGUGUGAACAUUCCCAUUAAGGUAGUGUGAACAUUCCCAUUAAGGUAGUGUGAACAUUCCCAUUAAGGUAGUGUGAACAUUCCCAUUAAGGUAGUGUGAACAUUCCCAUUAAGGUAGUGUGAACAUUCCCAUUAAGGUAGUGUGAACAUUCCCAUUAAGGUAGUGUGAACAUUCCCAUUAAGGCAGUGUGAACAUUCCCAUUAAGGUAGUGUGAACAUUCCCAUUAAGGUAGUGUGAACAUUCCCAUUAAGGUAGUGUGAACAUUCCCAUUAAGGUAGUGUGAACAUUCCCAUUAAGGUAGUGUGAACAUUCCCAUUAAGGCAGUGUGAACAUUCCCAUUAAGGCAGUGUGAACAUUCCCAUUAAGGCAGUGUGAACAUUCCCAUUAAGGCAGUGUGAACAUUCCCAUCAAGGCAGUGUGAACAUUCCCAUUAAGGCAGUGUGAACAUUCCCAUUAAGGCAGUGUGAACAUUCCCAUUAAGGCAGUGUGAACAUUCCCAUUAAGGCAGUGUGAACAUUCCCAUUAGGGUAGUGUGAACAUUCCCAUCAAGGCAGUGUGAACAUUCCCAUUAAGGUAGUGUGAACAUUCCCAUUAAGGCAGUGUGAACAUUCCCAUUGGUUGCAUC